UGCCCUAGUAACGGCGAGUGAAGCGGCAACAGCUCAAAUUUGAAAUCUGGCGUCUUCGGCGUCCGAGUUGUAAUUUGCAGAGGGCGCUUUGGCAUUGGCAGCGGUCCAAGUUCCUUGGAACAGGACGUCACAGAGGGUGAGAAUCCCGUACGUGGUCGCUAGCCUUUACCGUGUAAAGCCCCUUCGACGAGUCGAGUUGUUUGGGAAUGCAGCUCUAAAUGGGAGGUAAAUUUCUUCUAAAGCUAAAUACUGGCCAGAGACCGAUAGCGCACAAGUAGAGUGAUCGAAAGAUGAAAAGCACUUUGGAAAGAGAGUUAAAAAGCACGUGAAAUUGUUGAAAGGGAAGCGCUUGCAGCCAGACUUGCCUGUAGUUGCUCAUCUAGGUUUCUACCUAGUGCACUCUUCUAUAGGCAGGCCAGCAUCAGUUUGGGCGGUUGGAUAAAGGUCUCUGUCAUGUACCUCUCUUCGGGGAGAACUUAUAGGGGAGACGACAUGCAACCAGCCUGGACUGAGGUCCGCGCAUCUGCUAGGAUGCUGGCGUAAUGGCUGUAAGCGGCCCGUCUUGAAACACGGACCAAGGAGUCUAACAUCUAUGCGAGUGUUUGGGUGUCAAGCCCGAACGCGUAAUGAAAGUGAACGGAGGUGGGAACCUUUCGGGGUGCACCAUCGACCGAUCCUGAUGUCUUCGGAUGGAUUUGAGUAAGAGCAUAGCUGUUGGGACCCGAAAGAUGGUGAACUAUGCUUGAAUAGGGUGAAGCCAGAGGAAACUCUGGUGGAGGCUCGCAGCGGUUCUGACGUGCAAAUC
This 805-nucleotide ribosomal RNA is filed under the name Didymella baileyae. Its description in RNAcentral is "Didymella sp. MG-2021a partial large subunit ribosomal RNA". It matches the Rfam family "Eukaryotic large subunit ribosomal RNA", at positions 76 to 899 of the family's 3401-position model. The record is from RNAcentral. Lineage: Eukaryota; Fungi; Ascomycota; Dothideomycetes; Pleosporales; Didymellaceae.